AAGUCGUAACAAGGUUUCCGUAGGUGAACCUGCGGAAGGAUCAUUACAUUCAGUAGCCCAGCUACUUGUUUACACCCUUGUCUUUUUGCGUACUUAUCGUUUCCUCGGCGGGCUUGCCUGCCGGUUGGACAACUUUAUAACCUUUUUUUUAAAUCUUCAAUCAGCGUCUGAAUAAUAUACAAUAAUUACAACUUUCAACAACGGAUCUCUUGGUUCUG
RNAcentral lists this unclassified non-coding RNA (218 nucleotides) under fungal sp. RNAcentral describes it as "partial internal transcribed spacer region". The stretch from base 1 to 46 matches the Rfam family "Eukaryotic small subunit ribosomal RNA", at positions 1786 to 1831 of the family's 1831-position model. Lineage: Eukaryota; Fungi. The record is from RNAcentral.